AUUGAACGCUGGCGGCAGGCCUAACACAUGCAAGUCGAGCGGAGCGGCGGACGGGUGAGUAAAGCCUAGGAAUCUGCCCGGUAGUGGGGGAUACCGUCCGGAAACGGGCGCUAAUACCGCAUACUCUCAGAUGAGCCUAGGUCGGAUUAGCUAGUUGGUGGGGUAAAGGCUUACCAAGGCGACGAUCCGUAACUGGUCCGAGAGGAUGAUCAUGCACACUGGAACGGAGACACGGUCCAGACUCCUACGGGAGGCAGCAGUGGGGAAUAUUGGGCAAUGGGCGAAAGCCUGAUCCAGCCAUGCCGCGUGUGUGAAGAAGGUCUUCGGAUUGUAAAUCACUUUAAGUUGGGAGGCGUUACCAACAGAAUAAGCACCGGCUAACUACGUGCCAGCAGCCGCGGUAAUAC
Molecule: ribosomal RNA, 407 nt
Filed under: uncultured bacterium
Lineage: Bacteria
Description: partial 16S ribosomal RNA
Rfam family: Bacterial small subunit ribosomal RNA
Source: RNAcentral